CCUACGGGAGGCAGCAGUCGAGAAUCAUUCACAAUGGGGGAAACCCUGAUGGUGCGACGCCGCGUGGGGGAAUGAAGGUCUUCGGAUUGUAAACCCCUGUCAUGUGGGAGCAAAUUAAAAAGAUAGUACCACAAGAGGAAGAGACGGCUAACUCUGUGCCAGCAGCCGCGGUAAUACAGAGGUCUCAAGCGUUGUUCGGAAUCACUGGGCGUAAAGGGUGCGUAGGCUGUUUCGUACGUCUUGUGUGAAACGGGCGGGCUCAACCCGCGGACGGCACAUGAUACUGCGAGACGGGAGUAAUGGAGGGGGAACCGGAAUUCGCGGUGUAGCAGUGAAAUGCGUAGAUAUCGAGAGGAACACUCGUGGCGAAGGCGGGUUCCUGGACAUUAACUGACGCUGAGGCACGAAGGCCAGGGGAGCGAAAGGGAUUAGAUACCCUGGUAGUC
Molecule: ribosomal RNA, 446 nt
Filed under: uncultured bacterium
Lineage: Bacteria
Description: partial 16S ribosomal RNA
Rfam family: Bacterial small subunit ribosomal RNA
Source: RNAcentral